RNAcentral lists this non-coding RNA (23 nucleotides) under Arabidopsis thaliana (thale cress). The record is from RNAcentral. Lineage: Eukaryota; Viridiplantae; Streptophyta; Magnoliopsida; Brassicales; Brassicaceae.
UUCGGUACGGAUUUUCCGCGCCA